This 495-nucleotide ribosomal RNA is filed under the name uncultured bacterium. RNAcentral describes it as "partial 16S ribosomal RNA". It matches the Rfam family "Bacterial small subunit ribosomal RNA", at positions 30 to 523 of the family's 1533-position model. The record is from RNAcentral.
AUUGAACGCUGGCGGAAUGCUUUACACAUGCAAGUCGAACGGUAGAGGGGGCAACCCCUCGAGAGUGGCGAACGGGUGAGUAAUAUAUCGGAACGUGCCCAGUCGUGGGGGAUAACGUAGCGAAAGUUACGCUAUACCGCAUACGAUCUAUGGAUGAAAGCGGGGGGUCGCAAGACCUCGCGCGAUUGGAGCGGCCGAUAUCAGAUUAGGUAGUUGGUGGGGUAAAGGCCCACCAAGCCAACGAUCUGUAGCUGGUCUGAGAGGACGACCAGCCACACUGGAACUGAGACACGGUCCAGACUCCUACGGGAGGCAGCAGUGGGGAAUUUUGGACAAUGGGCGAAAGCCUGAUCCAGCCAUUCCGCGUGCAGGAUGAAGGCCCUCGGGUUGUAAACUGCUUUUGUACAGAACGAAAAGGUUUCUACUAAUACUAGGAGCUCAUGACGGUACUGUAAGAAUAAGCACCGGCUAACUACGUGCCAGCCGCCGCCGUAA